Molecule: ribosomal RNA, 275 nt
Filed under: uncultured bacterium
Lineage: Bacteria
Description: partial 16S ribosomal RNA
Rfam family: Bacterial small subunit ribosomal RNA
Source: RNAcentral
GCGUGGGUGAAGAAGGUCUUCGGAUUGUAAAGCCCUUUCGGCGGGGACGAUGAUGACGGUACCCGCAGAAGAAGCCCCGGCUAACUUCGUGCCAGCAGCCGCGGUAAUACGAAGGGGGCUAGCGUUGCUCGGAAUUACUGGGCGUAAAGGGCGCGUAGGCGGCGCUGCAAGUCAGGCGUGAAAUUCCUGGGCUUAACCUGGGGGCUGCGCUUGAGACUGUGGUGCUAGAGGUCAGAAGAGGGUCGUGGAAUUCCCAGUGUAGAGGUGAAAUUCGU